This 1897-nucleotide ribosomal RNA is filed under the name Salmonella enterica. RNAcentral's name for it is "partial 23S ribosomal RNA". It matches the Rfam family "Bacterial large subunit ribosomal RNA", at positions 1051 to 2925 of the family's 2925-position model. Lineage: Bacteria; Pseudomonadati; Pseudomonadota; Gammaproteobacteria; Enterobacterales; Enterobacteriaceae. The record is from RNAcentral.
AGUCAUGGUUAAGUGGGAAACGAUGUGGGAAGGCCCAGACAGCCAGGAUGUUGGCUUAGAAGCAGCCAUCAUUUAAAGAAAGCGUAAUAGCUCACUGGUCGAGUCGGCCUGCGCGGAAGAUGUAACGGGGCUAAACCAUGCACCGAAGCUGCGGCAGCGACACUCAGGUGUUGUUGGGUAGGGGAGCGUUCUGUAAGCCUGCGAAGGUGGCCUGUGAGGGUUGCUGGAGGUAUCAGAAGUGCGAAUGCUGACAUAAGUAACGAUAAAGCGGGUGAAAAGCCCGCUCGCCGGAAGACCAAGGGUUCCUGUCCAACGUUAAUCGGGGCAGGGUGAGUCGACCCCUAAGGCGAGGCCGAAAGGCGUAGUCGAUGGGAAACGGGUUAAUAUUCCCGUACUUGGUGUUACUGCGAAGGGGGGACGGAGAAGGCUAUGUUGGCCGGGCGACGGUUGUCCCGGUUUAAGCGUGUAGGUGUGUGUUCCAGGUAAAUCCGGUUCACUUUAACACUGAGGCGUGAUGACGAGGCACUACGGUGCUGAAGCAACAAAUGCCCUGCUUCCAGGAAAAGCCUCUAAGCAUCAGGUAACAUCAAAUCGUACCCCAAACCGACACAGGUGGUCAGGUAGAGAAUACCAAGGCGCUUGAGAGAACUCGGGUGAAGGAACUAGGCAAAAUGGUGCCGUAACUUCGGGAGAAGGCACGCUGACACGUAGGUGAAGUGAUUUACUCAUGGAGCUGAAGUCAGUCGAAGAUACCAGCUGGCUGCAACUGUUUAUUAAAAACACAGCACUGUGCAAACACGAAAGUGGACGUAUACGGUGUGACGCCUGCCCGGUGCCGGAAGGUUAAUUGAUGGGGUCAGCGCAAGCGAAGCUCCUGAUCGAAGCCCCGGUAAACGGCGGCCGUAACUAUAACGGUCCUAAGGUAGCGAAAUUCCUUGUCGGGUAAGUUCCGACCUGCACGAAUGGCGUAAUGAUGGCCAGGCUGUCUCCACCCGAGACUCAGUGAAAUUGAACUCGCUGUGAAGAUGCAGUGUACCCGCGGCAAGACGGAAAGACCCCGUGAACCUUUACUAUAGCUUGACACUGAACAUUGAGCCUUGAUGUGUAGGAUAGGUGGGAGGCUUUGAAGUGUGGACGCCAGUCUGCAUGGAGCCGGCCUUGAAAUACCACCCUUUAAUGUUUGAUGUUCUAACGUGGACCCGUGAUCCGGGUUGCGGACAGUGUCUGGUGGGUAGUUUGACUGGGGCGGUCUCCUCCUAAAGAGUAACGGAGGAGCACGAAGGUUGGCUAAUCCUGGUCGGACAUCAGGAGGUUAGUGCAAUGGCAUAAGCCAGCUUGACUGCGAGCGUGACGGCGCGAGCAGGUGCGAAAGCAGGUCAUAGUGAUCCGGUGGUUCUGAAUGGAAGGGCCAUCGCUCAACGGAUAAAAGGUACUCCGGGGAUAACAGGCUGAUACCGCCCAAGAGUUCAUAUCGACGGCGGUGUUUGGCACCUCGAUGUCGGCUCAUCACAUCCUGGGGCUGAAGUAGGUCCCAAGGGUAUGGCUGUUCGCCAUUUAAAGUGGUACGCGAGCUGGGUUUAGAACGUCGUGAGACAGUUCGGUCCCUAUCUGCCGUGGGCGCUGGAGAACUGAGGGGGGCUGCUCCUAGUACGAGAGGACCGGAGUGGACGCAUCACUGGUGUUCGGGUUGUCAUGCCAAUGGCACUGCCCGGUAGCUAAAUGCGGAAGAGAUAAGUGCUGAAAGCAUCUAAGCACGAAACUUGCCCCGAGAUGAGUUCUCCCUGAGACUUUAGGUCUCCUGAAGGAACGUUGAAGACGACGACGUUGAUAGGCCGGGUGUGUAAGCGCAGCGAUGCGUUGAGCUAACCGGUACUAAUGAACCGUGAGGCUUAACCUU